Molecule: long non-coding RNA, 1242 nt
Filed under: Carica papaya (papaya)
Lineage: Eukaryota; Viridiplantae; Streptophyta; Magnoliopsida; Brassicales; Caricaceae
Description: long non-coding RNA (CPAP_LNC014723)
Source: RNAcentral
UAUUGCUCACCCGAUGACAUUAAAAUAAGAAAUCAGAUUUCUUGGACACUGGAUUGCUUUUGCAAGCAGAUAAUUAGGAAUCUCAGAUGGUUUUUUCGUGAGGCAAAGCCAGCCUAUCUUACAGUUGCCAUUGACUGACCAAAACUCCAAUGAUUUUUUGCCAUCACACCGCCUAAAUUUGACUCAUUCCAGCAAUAUCUGCAGCCAGAAACCAUGCAAAUUAUAAGGCUUUAAAGUUCCUACAUCAUCUUUCAUCUCAUUACUUAAAAAAUGUGAUGCCCUACAUAACCUGUUACUAUUAACUCAUUCACUUGGUCACGAACUCUAUAUAUACAUAAACACAUACAUACAUGCAUAUAUAAUUAUCUGGUAAAAAGAUGAAUGUGAAGAUCUAACUCCUUUAAGAUCCACCAUGGUGGGAAUGAGGCAUUCAGAUGGAUCUUAUAGGAGGUUAAUGAAGCAUAACUAUAGAGAUCUUUCUCCUGGAAGGCCUAACAUUAUCAUAUUGCAAGCUAUCUGUAAUAUUUGAUAGUAGUUAAAAUGAUUAUCAGUAUACCAAAUUCAACAGUCUAUUACUACAACAACACAAUCAAAUUCAGAAGAUCCAACUCUGCUUCAUUCAGGACAAUUACAUUGAUAUCAUGUGGUUUGAGAUUUUCAAAUUUCAGCGCAAGCAGUUUAUUUCUAACGGUUUUAAUAUUUGUAAUGAACUCUUAGUUAGGUAAUGUAACAUUGUUAAUUUCAAUAUAUGGGCAAUUUAUAUUUUAAAAUUUUUAACAAGUGGAUGAUUCAAUUUAUAUAUUUUAUAAUUAGAAAAACAAUGACUAAAAUCUACAAAAAUUAAAAUAAAAUUAAAAGAAACAACGAGAUAUAAACUGGAGAAGCAUUGAGGAAGUUUGCAUACAUUAAAACUAACACAAUUUUUAACUUUUGAAAGAAUCUACAUAAUCUAAUAUGAGCUUUUCAUGCAUCAAAUUUUCUAAAAAAUACAGAUCAUCCACAUGUUCAAAUGAAAACCGUGACUCCUGAGUCUGCUAAAAGUAAUUAUGUAUAUUAAAUAUGAAAGUUCUCAAAUCACAAGAGUCAGCACUACAACUGAUCCAAAUUUUAUUGAAAAUGCCACAAUGUGAUCGCAUAUAAAGAUACAUACCUCAAUUAACCUUUCGGACUUCUCAUAAAGCUGCUUAGAUCUCCACAACCUCUUUUUAAAUGUUAAUUUCACAAAAAGUUGACAUCUCGACA